Molecule: long non-coding RNA, 5382 nt
Organism: Sinocyclocheilus grahami
Lineage: Eukaryota; Metazoa; Chordata; Actinopteri; Cypriniformes; Cyprinidae
Source: Ensembl
UCAGGGAAAGAUGCAGCGCUUACGAAGACCUCGCUCCAGCAGUGAUGGUCUCUCUCUGGCUGCCUCUGUUGAUCCGCAGCUCCUUCCCCAGCGUUCCCCAUCUAGAAUCCAUCCAAGCCGCUCUUACGAUAGCCUGCUGCCUGAGGAAACCCGUGAUGCAGAUGAGGAGGAAAAUGAAGAUGAAGAAGAUGAGGAGGGUGUGUACAUGUUGCCUGAUUUUUCCCAGGAACCAUCUGCCUCAUGGAUGGCAGAAGAUGUCAUUGACUUUAGCCCCACCUUCCUGGAAGAUGGGCCAAUAGGGUUAGUAAACACGGCUGUCGAUCUUAGCGGCAACGAGUCCCCUCCUGCGUCCGCACCCCCUCCCUACCGGUGUCUGAGCCAUCAAGCCCACACCCGGUCUGGUAGCCAGCGCUCAAUCACAGAAGAUCCAGACUCAGUUCUCAAUCAAUCUGAGGCCGCAGCCCGUCGGAGUUUGAUCCUGGCUGCAGCAGCUCCGCCUCAGCAAGUGUUCUGUCAACACAGGCCCUCUGCAGUCACUAAUGCUUCCGCAAGCACAGCCCAGCACCGUGAAUCAAAUCUAAGCCCAUCCCACAGCCAGACGCCAGCUCCAGCAACCUCUGUACCCCCGUCUCAGCCCCCUCAAGAGAGGCGUUCCUUUACACGUAAAGUGGUUCAUGCACUUUCACCUAAAGUGCCAAAAUCCCCCCCUCUGGACAUCUCUGAUCCGAUCGCCAUCAGUGUACCUGCCAAGGUUCUGGAAAUGAUUGGUGGAAGAGCUGGCGAAUUGCAACCUGGACUUCCAAGCAGUGGACCACCUCAGCCACCCCAAAUGAUAUCUAUGCUCCUGAGGUCAUGUGAUUUUCAACUCUCAGAAAGCUGCCAGCAAGAGCUCAGCAAUAAGUUGGGCCCCAUCGCCAAAAUCAAGGGUCCUAGUAUCUUGGGUCCCACUGGUUUUCCCCUUCCAUCACAGCAGCCCCCUCCUCCACCCCCCAAGAACCCUGCACGCCUCAUGGCUUUGGCUCUGGCUGAAAGUGCCAACAAGGCACUGCGGCAAGGUGCCUCACCCCCAUACCGCCCCCGUCAGAGUGGAACCUCUCAUGAGACAGACGUCCGCUUCCAGAGGUCCCUUUCUGCUGAUGCGGGUGCUCUGCUGUCUUCUGAUCCUAAUCAGAUCUACUCCACGGUGCGCCCCUUGUCUGUAUGGAAGACUGAGGGUGAUGAUGAUGAUGGUGAAACUGCCACUGAAAAGCGUGCAGACAAAUCAUAUGGUACAGAACCAAGGUCACCACCUGGGCAGGACACUGGGACUCUCUCUUCUGACAGCUCAGUCUCUGACUCUGGGACAUCCAAUUCUGAGUUGUCAGCUGCCAGUUCCUCUGAAGACAAUGAGCGAACACCAAGCCCCAUUUACAAGAAUGAAGAACCAACUUCUCCAGCACAGCCCUCAAAAUCCAGCCCACCCUCUUCCACCGAAGCCGUCCCUUCUCAGAGAAAACCCCCAGCAUAUGGGCGGCAGUUUUCUGCUCCACAGCUUCAGCAGGAGAAAUCCAGCAGCCAGUCCAAGCCUGCAGCCCAACCACACACUCAGCUUCUGCAUUCUAAAUCAGAGAGCUCUCCACUGGCCCAGGUACGAGCCUUCCAGCCCACUCGCCCAAAAGUGCCGCCCAAGCCCCCUGAUCUUGCUCCGUUGAGGGCUCCACUCUCUCAGACUGACCGGCAUGAUUACAUGCGUCGCUCCUUGGAUGCCACUCGCAUUCGACGUUUGGCAGGUCCACCACAAGGGAACACACCACUUUCCAGAGCUUUCUCUGAGCGUAUCAACAGUACCUCUGACAUGCUGUCUCGCUAUCAUGCAGCCAGGAUGGCCAACCAAGCUGCCCAGGUUGCACACCUUCCCCAGCAACAGCAACAGGCCCAGUCCACACCAAUCAGACCAGUUGUCCCCUCCUCUGAAGACCCUUCCAAGAUGGAGAACUUCUACUACGAAAUUGGUGCACCUGAGCAUCCACAAGUGCCACCCAGCUAUGCACGCCACAGCUAUCAAAAUAUGAAGCUGGAUCUGGAAGGAAACCUUCGUCUUACUGAUCCAGCCAAUCAAAGGCCUAUUUCCAGGGGUUACCCUCCUCCCUACAACCCCCAAGGACCUGGGGGCUGUAGGACUCCCCAGCUGUGGUCAUCUGAGGCCACACGAGCUUGGGCCGCAGCACACUCUCAUUCUUUCUCAUUUUCUCAUUCUCAUUCUCACCAUCACUCUCAGGAUGGAUCAUCAGGACAUCCUCCUAACCCCCGUCCCCAGCGUGAGACAUCAUCAUCUGUCAGGUUGUCCCGCAGUGAAGUGCAUCCUAUAUCCGCAUCUGUUGGAGUGGGUUCCUCUGCUGGCAUGGUGCCUCUGUCUGUGCACCAACGUAGCUUGAUUCGCCCCCAGCGUUCCCCUUCAGCAGACCACACUGCCUCCCAGCUUCACCCCUAUUUUGAAAACGGGAAGGUGUGUUACCGGUACUUUGAGGCUUCCAGACUGGAAGACUCGCCACUGAAUCAGCAUCAGCAUGCUGUUUCAAAGCCAUCUCAGGCCUCACCGGUGCAAGGAAUCACAAAAGAUCAGCCUGAGCACAUCUACGUCAACUACCCUUUCCCAAACCCACCAGGAUCAGGGUUUAAUUCAAAGGGCUGGGCUACCACAGACCUUGACGAAAAUGAUCAUCAAGCAUCUGAGAUGUCACCACCGGAUGACAAACAGAAGCAUUCAGAGCAAGAAAGUCCCACAGCUAACUUUGACAACCCUUCCCAGAAUGAUGUGUCCUCAGAUUCCAAAGUGAUCAAUAUAGCAGCAUCUGCCUUCAAUGCCAUGCAUUUCCGCAGUCGCUCAGAUCCCCAAAGUACCAGCUCAGAGCCUGCUCAAGUCUUGACUGGGAAGGAAAUUGCCUCCUUGCUAAUUGAAAAGCUUGCAGAGGAUGAAAGGGAGGGUCCUUCUGUGCUGUCUUCUUUGUCCUCUUCUCCGCACAUCGAGCACCCUCCAAAUCCCUACCCUAGCCAGCAGCAGCAGCCUCCACCUGCGUACAAUAUCUACACUCCAGGACCCUCUCGAGGGCACAGUGAAAGUCAGGUGCCACCUAGAGAGGGAUCAGGACCUUUCCAACGUCAAGACCCCUUGCGGAGAUCUUCCGGAGGCCAAUAUAGACAAGCUUUUGACGUCAUGCCAUCUGGCGACCAAGUACUUAAGUUUUACAGAAGCCAAGACUUUAUCCCAGGUGCCCAGGGAGAAAGCACAACCCCUAAUCCUUAUCCCCCAAGACCAUAUUAUCAGGACCCCCCAUACCCCAAUUGGGGCCCACAAGGCCUCCCAGACUCUUCCCACACAUGCACUCCACCUACAGUGGCCUUCUCCAACUUAGCGCUUGGAUCGACAAGAGGAUAUGGGCCCCAGAAUGUGGCCAACCAAUAUAACCAGUACCCGUACCAGUCAGGGCCAGUGCUUCCCCAGUAUCCCAACACACCACGACGAGAUAUUGUCCUGGAUCCUUCUCUCCGACCUCCGGGGUUACGAAACCAGAGAGGCUUAAACCGGCAGGGAAGCCUGCCGGGCCCCAACUGGACCAUCCAAACUGAAGGCCAGACCCGUAGUUACUGCUAAAGAGCACAACUGCCUCAAAAAAUCCUGUGUCUUUAGAUGAUAUGAUGUAGACCGGUGUAAGCACUAGACUUUUAUGUUUCCUGUACAAGUUAACACGUUGUGAAACUAAUUGUGUUAACCUCCCCAAGGGGAGACCGAAUGUACAGAAACAAAGUUAAGUGGGGUAUGUCUUUACUAGUGUUUCUGUCUCAGAAAAACCCCAUUGCUGUCCUGCUAUUAGUGUGUGUAUUGGAGUGGAAAAAGUGUACGAGAAUAAGACAUGAAGCAGUAAGGAUCAAAGAAGUGAACCAUAAAGUGGCUUAGAUAUGAAAACAUUCCAGAACACACUGUGCUGUCCAGCAGAGGGAGUCAGAGAGGUACAUAGCUGCUAUUACUCUGAUAGGCUAAUUUGAGUUUUUCUGCUUUGGGUUUUGUUUGAUUUAAGGUUCUUAUUGACACUAAGUCAUGCUGUACAGGGGCACAAGCUUGAUAUGUCUUUCUUCCUCCACAAAGUACAAUAUAAAUAACCUCAAGAGAUGCUGGUGGUUAUAUGAAACUUUAUGAGUAUGGCUAGUUUUUGUUAUCUUCAAUUUUUAGCAACAGUGGGAUAUUAUUUCCAUUUUAAUUGUUUUUUUCCCCCUAAGUUAUUGUAAGUUUUCAAUGGAAUGAGUUAUUGUGAAAUAGUUUUAUUUUGCCUUUCUUGAAUUUGUUUCAAAGAAUGUGAAGAUUAGGACUUUGAGUUUUUUUUUUUUUUUAAUUUCUUUCUAAAGUCUGUGCGUGAAUUUGUGUGUGAAUGAAUGUGUCUUGCACAGAGUGUCUGAUGUUAAGCACAUAAAAAGGAACAGUAAUUGCAGAAUUUUUUGAGAGGGUGUGUAAUUGAGAGCGCAUACUUCUGUGAGGUACUGCUUACUGCUCACUGUCAAAUAAUGUGUCAGAUGAUUUGUGUAUCAAUAUUGGCAUUCUAAUCCAAAGCAAGUAUUUCAGGUAGGUAAUUUCACAAUGUGUCACUCCCAGACAUCCAUGGAUUUCUGUGAAGGAGGAAUUGAAUAAUUGGUACUAUUCACCACAAAACCCUGAACAUUCAUUCAAUGCGUACAACACUUGUCUUAUAAGACCUUAUAAAUGUAAAAGCAGUUUUUAUCAGAUACUGCAGAUACCUAUGUUCCAGUGUUUAUUACUUAGUACUAUAGUACCUUUCAGGUCAUUAAAAAUGUCCUGGAUAUUCUUCUAAAAUUGACCAGCGAUGGAAUCUCUUUAAGAUUUGUUUAAUAAUUGGUGCCUUCUCUUAAAUAAUUGAUCAUCUUUUUAAAUCCUUCGUUAUGAAAACAAAUAUUGAAGAGCUAGAUAAAAACCCUAUCCUAAACCCAGUUACCCCUAUUUACAGUUUUCCACACUAGUAAAUUCUAAAUGAGAAAAAGAUUGUGUAUGAGUGUGUUUGAGUGAGAAUGUGACGCUGUGUGUUUGCAUGUCUGUUAUCUCUGUUGUUUUAAUACAUAUCUAUGCAGUGAAUAACCAAGGGGUUACGUUCCUUAAAAAACACUAAAUAUUAAUGCUACCUAUUUAUGUCAGCACACCUGUGAGCGUGUACGUUCCAGUGAGAAAGGUCAUGCAUGUGGCUUUGAGGGUAUAUACAUGUCCAACAAUCUCCCCUUCAGCCUUUAGCACUUGGCGAAAGGCAGUUCAUCCUAUUUUGUAAUAUUUUCAAAUAUGUGAAUUAAAAUCUUGGACCCUGUCAGUGACGAAACCUGUAGUUUGGUGAUUAUUUUUGAACA